Molecule: ribosomal RNA, 230 nt
Filed under: uncultured bacterium
Lineage: Bacteria
Description: partial 16S ribosomal RNA
Rfam family: Bacterial small subunit ribosomal RNA
Source: RNAcentral
UACGUAGGGUGCAAGCGUUAAUCGGAAUUACUGGGCGUAAAGCGUGCGCAGGCGGUUUUGUAAGUCUGACGUGAAAUCCCCGGCUCAACCUGGGAAUUGCGUUGGAGACUGCAAGGCUAGAAUCUGGCAGAGGGGGGUAGAAUUCCACGUGUAGCAGUGAAAUGCGUAGAGAUGUGGAGGAACACCGAUGGCGAAGGCAGCCCCCUGGGUCAAGAUUGACGCUCAUGCAC